CCCUCCUACAAAGGCGUGUCUUUGGUUCCUUGUCUUUGGACACGUAAGAAUUGGAGGCACAAAAAUGUGGAUUUGGAGACAUCUGGGGCCAGCUUGCUCCCCGCAGGCUCAAGAUCAACCAUCUCACAUAC
Molecule: small nucleolar RNA, 131 nt
Organism: Fukomys damarensis (Damara mole-rat)
Lineage: Eukaryota; Metazoa; Chordata; Mammalia; Rodentia; Bathyergidae
Source: Ensembl